Molecule: ribosomal RNA, 2064 nt
Filed under: Triticum aestivum (bread wheat)
Lineage: Eukaryota; Viridiplantae; Streptophyta; Magnoliopsida; Poales; Poaceae
Description: partial small subunit ribosomal RNA
Source: RNAcentral
AUGGCCUCGCACCACCGCGGCCGCAUCCCCUCCCACCUCGCCCCCGCCGCUGCCCUCCUUUUUGCCUUCAUAAUCGCGCUUCCAGCAUCCGGCGAUCCCCUCGGACAGUUGUGCGGCAACAGUGGCAACUUCACCGCCAACAGCACCUACCAGGCCAACAUCCGGCGCCUCUCCGCCACCCUCCCCAAGAACGCCUCCUCCUCGCCGACGCUCUUCGCCACCGACACCUUCGGAACCCUCCCGGACAUCGUCUACGCGCUCGCGCUCUGCCGCGGGGACACCAGCGCCGCCAACUGCAGCCAAUGCGUCGCCACGGCUUUCCAAGACGCUCAGCAGCGCUGCCCGUACAACCAGGAUGCUACCAUCUUCUACGACCCCUGCGCACUCCGCUUCUCCAACCAGAACUUCCUGUCCUCCACCAAUGGCGACGGCACCCUCCUCCUCCUCAUGAACACUCAGAACGUGUCCGCACCGGUGAAGGUGUUCAACGCCGCCGUGGGCGUCCUCCUGAACGCCACCGCCAAUUACGCGGCCGCGAAUUCCUCCAGGAGGUUCGGCACAGGAGAGGAGGGGUUCGAGACGGUCGACAAGGGUACCCCAAAGAUUUACGGUCUGGCGCAGUGCACGCCGGACAUGGCACCGGCCGAUUGCCAGACCUGCCUCCAGGGUAUCAUCAAGAGGAUGCCGGAAUUCUUCAGUGGGAAGCAGGGUGGCCGGGUUCUAGGAUUGCGGUGCAAUUACAGGUAUGAGCAGUAUCGCUUCUUCAAUGGGCCUUCGCUGCUGCAGCUCCCGGCGCCAUCCGUGGGGUUAGCUCCAGCUCCAGCGCCGGCGAACGUGAAGCCACCGCCAGUCGGAGGAGGAAGCACAGGGAACAGAACGGCUAGAAUUUUAGCUAUUACGCUGCCGAUAGUUGCUGCAAUACUGGCUGCUGUUGUAAUUUGCCUUUAUCUAUGGAGGAGGAAGAGCAAACCGGCGCGAAAGGCAUCACUAUCAUAUCCAACUAAUCCAGAGGACAUACAGAGUAUCGAUUCACUCAUUCUCGAUCUAUCAACUCUACGAGCCGCAACGGAUAACUUUGAUGAAAGGAAUAAACUUGGUGAAGGAGGGUUUGGUGUGGUUUAUAAGGGAAUCCUUCCUGACAAUGAAGAAAUAGCAGUUAAAAGGCUCUCACAAAGCUCUCGCCAAGGGAUAGAGGAGCUCAAAAAUGAGCUUGUUUUGGUUGCUAAGCUUCAACACAAGAAUUUAGUGAGACUUCUUGGUGUUUGCUUGGAGGAACAAGAAAAGUUACUUGCGUAUGAAUACAUGCCCAACAAAAGCCUUGACACCAUUCUUUUUGAUCCUGAUAGGAGCAGUCAGCUUGAUUGGGGGACGAGAUUUAGGAUAGUCAAUGGGAUUGCUCGAGGCUUACAGUACCUUCAUGAAGAUUCUCAGCUGAAGAUAAUUCACCGGGACCUCAAAGCGAGCAAUGUUCUUUUAGACUCUGAAUUUAAUCCGAAAAUUUCAGAUUUUGGCUUAGCAAGGCUAUUUGGCAGUGACCAAUCCCAUGAUGUCACCAACCGUGUCGUCGGAACCUACGGAUACAUGGCCCCUGAGUAUGCUAUGCGUGGGAAUUACUCUAUCAAGUCAGACGUGUUCAGCUUCGGCGUCUUGAUUUUAGAAAUCGUCACUGGAAAAAGAAACAGCGUCGCAUAUGACUCCGAGCAAGCUGUGGAUCUCUUAAGUUUGGUGUGGGAGCACUGGACGAUGGGAACAAUUGUAGAGAUCAUGGAUUCGUCUAUGACAAGCCAUUCUCCUGGAGACCAGAUGCUCAAGUGCAUGCACAUCGGACUUCUGUGUGUUCAAGAAGACCCCGCUGAUAGACCGAUGAUGUCGGUUGUGACUGUCAUGCUAAGCAGCAGCACUGUGUCUCUCCAAGCUCCAUCAAGGCCAGCAUUUUGCAUCCAAAAGAGUGGCAUGGACUACUCAGGCAUGCACACGGAUCCAUAUCCAGGAGUUUCGCAUUCUACCAGCAGAUCACCUAUGUCACCGAACGAAGUUUCGAUUACUGAACUUGAGCCGAGAUAA